CAGCCACAGGUGAGGAAGACCAGAAGGAUGUACAUCAUGAUUUCGGAGACCACAGAGGUGAAGUCCUCUCCGCUGAAAGAAAGAGAAUGAGGCUCAGAAUAUGCAAGUCCAACAAACCCAGGGCUUUGGAGCCAUAUUUCUAAGUACAAGCUUAAGUAAGGACUAAGUCUAAACAAACUCAGAAGAUAUCAAGGGAAUUCCAAAUCCUGACUCUCCCAUUAACUGGCUUUCUCACUGACUGUCAUUGGCUGCUCAGGAGACAGGGAUGAGGUAAUGGGAUGCUGCAAGAAGCAGCACAGCAGUGGAAGGAAUCCUGGCCUCAAGGCUUGCUCUGGUGCCUGGCAGACGAACUAGCUCAGCCUUGCCGCACUUCCACCAGUUAUGCACAGGGUCCUCCGGAGGAAAAAGCCUGAGAGAGCUGGAGGUGGAGACUGUUGUGCACUGUGCUAGGGGCUGGCUGGCACCAACCAACAGUUCCAGACGGUGACCAGGAGAGGGCGUCAGGGAAAGGCGUGUAAUAAACGGGGAAUAAAGGAAUUUCAGAACAGGAGAGUACCUUAGAGAGAGCUCCCCGUCCAACCCCUUCGUUUCACACCAGAGGAGCCCGGCUCAGAGCAGGGAAGAGACUCUUCAGGAGGCCUAAGCGUCCUUCUGCAUUUUCAAAAUGGACCUACCUUCCAUUUUAGUUACCUCGUCUGACCAUUAUGUCUCUUUCUCCUUCGUUCAUUCACUCUGAGGACCGAAUCUUCGCUUAUUUUUAUCACAAUCACAUGAUUAAAAAACAAGUAGACCUGUGGCCUGGAGGUUGGUAUUCCUGGAUCCUUUU
Molecule: long non-coding RNA, 826 nt
Filed under: Callithrix jacchus (white-tufted-ear marmoset)
Lineage: Eukaryota; Metazoa; Chordata; Mammalia; Primates; Cebidae
Description: lncRNA (ENSCJAG00000085088.1)
Source: RNAcentral